CGCCGAGAUACCGUGGGCCGGAUCGUAGUAGUCGAUCAGGUCGAACGUGGUCGACUUGGGCUUGCCGUUCGACUCGCCGCUCACCACC
Molecule: transfer RNA, 88 nt
Filed under: compost metagenome
Description: tRNA-Tyr
Source: RNAcentral